Molecule: ribosomal RNA, 406 nt
Filed under: uncultured bacterium
Lineage: Bacteria
Description: partial 16S ribosomal RNA
Rfam family: Bacterial small subunit ribosomal RNA
Source: RNAcentral
AUUGAACGCUGGCGGCAGGCCUAACACAUGCAAGUCGAGCGAGUGGCGGACGGGUGAGUAAUGUCUGGGAAAAUGCCCGAGGGAGGGGGAUAACUACUGGAAACGGUAGCUAAUACCGCAUACCAUCAGAUGUGCCCAGAUGGGAUUAGCUAGUUGGUGGGGUAAAGGCUCACCUAGGCGACGAUCCCUAGCUGGUCUGAGCGGAUGACCAGCCACACUGGAACUGAGACACGGUCCAGACUCCGACGGGAGUCAGCAGUGGGGAAUAUUGCACAAUGGGCGCAAGCCUGAUGCAUCCAUGCCGCGUGUAUGAAGAAGGCCGUCGGGUUGUAAAGUACUUUCAGCUGGGAGGCGUUACCCGCAGAAGAAGCACCGGCUAACUCCGUGCCAGCAGCCGCGGUAAUUC